Molecule: ribosomal RNA, 253 nt
Filed under: uncultured bacterium
Lineage: Bacteria
Description: partial 16S ribosomal RNA
Rfam family: Bacterial small subunit ribosomal RNA
Source: RNAcentral
UACGGAGGGUGCGCGCGUUACCCGGAAUCACUGGGCGUAAAGGGCGCGUAGGCGGUCUAGCCAGUCUGGUGUGAAAGCCCAGGGCUCAACCCUGGAAGGGCACUGGAAACUGCUAGGCUUGAAUUCCGGAGAGGAGGGGGGAAUUCCCGGUGUAGCGGUGAAAUGCGUAGAUAUCGGGAGGAAUACCGGUGGCGAAGGCGCCCCUCUGGACGGAGACUGACGCUGAGGCGCGAAAGCGUGGGGAGCAAACAGG